RNAcentral lists this ribosomal RNA (429 nucleotides) under Bacteroidota bacterium. RNAcentral describes it as "Bacteroidetes bacterium partial 16S ribosomal RNA". It matches the Rfam family "Bacterial small subunit ribosomal RNA", at positions 355 to 776 of the family's 1533-position model. The record is from RNAcentral. Lineage: Bacteria; Pseudomonadati; Bacteroidota.
UAGGGAAUCUUCGGCAAUGGGGGGAACCCUGACCGAGCAACGCCGCGUGAGUGAAGAAGGUUUUCGGAUCGUAAAGCUCUGUUGUUAAGGAAGAACGAGUGUGAGAAUGGAAAGUUCAUGCUGUGACGGUACUUAACCAGAAAGGGACGGCUAACUACGUGCCAGCAGCCGCGGUAAUACGUAGGUCCCGAGCGUUGUCCGGAUUUAUUGGGCGUAAAGCGAGCGCUGGCGGUUAGAAAAGUCUGAAGUGAAAGGCAGUGGCUCAACCAUUGUAGGCUUUGGAAACUGUUUAACUUGAGUGCAGAAGGGGAGAGUGGAAUUCCAUGUGUAGCGGUGAAAUGCGUAGAUAUAUGGAGGAACACCGGUGGCGAAAGCGGCUCUCUGGUCUGUAACUGACGCUGAGGCUCGAAAGCGUGGGGAGCGAACAGG